UACGUAGGGUGCAAGCGUUGUCCGGAAUCAUUGGGCGUAAAGCGCGCGUAGGCGGCUUCGUAAGUCCGUUGUGAAAGUCAAAGGCUCAACCUUUGAAUGCCGAUGGAUACUGCGAAGCUAGAGUACGGAAGAGGCGAGUGGAAUUCCUGGUGUAGCGGUGGAAUGCGCAGAUAUCAGGAGGAACACCAAUAGCGAAGGCAGCUCGCUGGGACGUUACUGACACUAAGGCGCGAAAGCGUGGGGAGCGAACAGG
Molecule: ribosomal RNA, 253 nt
Filed under: uncultured bacterium
Lineage: Bacteria
Description: partial 16S ribosomal RNA
Rfam family: Bacterial small subunit ribosomal RNA
Source: RNAcentral